GAAGAAAAAAAAUUCCUCCUGAAUGUACCCAAUCUCAUCUGAUCUCAGAAGCUAAGUGGGGUUGAGCCUGGUUAGUAUUUGGAGGGGAAUUUACCUGGGAAUACUGGGUGCUGUA
Ribosomal RNA from Otolemur garnettii (small-eared galago), 115 nucleotides. The record is from Ensembl. NCBI's taxonomy places the organism in Eukaryota, Metazoa, Chordata, Mammalia, Primates, Galagidae.